UUUGGGAGGUGACAGGAGGGCUGUUUCUGACCCCUUUGUAGUGUGCAGAGAUGCGUGUCCCACUCGCGUGCGGCUGGAGUCACGUGUGAUUCAUGGCUCACGUGUGUGUAGUGAUUCACAUGGAUGAUGCACAAGUAGGAAUGCAGGUGCCCUGCGUCCAGUUCUGGCUUACAGAGAGGAGGAAAGGGUCUUGGGGAAGUUGGGGAGCGCGCCGACAAGGGCUCCAAGGCAUCAGUCAGCCCCUGACCAGGAGCAGAUCAGUGUCCCAAUCAUACAGGCGUCACCUAGUCCCUGUCUCCCUCUCAGCAUCUGGUCCCUCCCUUCUCAGUGGGACCCAAGCUCCUGAUACGUAUCUGGGUGAACCCAGUCCUGCCAGUCAGAGGGACCGGCUGUGCCAGAGGCAAACAAACAACUAUUUGGGCGAAAGGCUGUGGGCGGGAAGAGGGAGCCCUCAGCUAGCAAGGACAGAGCUUCUGGAAAGAGAGAGCCAGCGAGCCCUAGAGCACCCCAGAGAGAGCUGGGCUUUUCCUCAGAGACCUAUCCUGCCCCCCAAGCCCUCACACCACAGCUCAGCAGCCCAGCAGCCCAGCCCUUCCCGGCCUGUGGCUCACCUCCUCCAGGCCGGCUGCCAGAGGCAUCCUUCCGUCCCUCCCAUCAUGGCUGUGUACCGCGUGUGCGUGACCACUGGUGCCUACCUGAUGGCCGGCACACUGGACAACAUUUCUGUCACACUGGUGGGCACGUGUGGUGAGAGCCCCAAGCAGCGGCUGGAUCGCGUGGGCAGGGACUUCGCCCCUGGAUCGGUGCAGAAGUACAAAAUACGCUGUUCAGAGGAGCUGGGUGAGCUCUUGCUGCUGCGGCUCCACAAAGAGCGUUGCACUCUCUUCCCCAAGGACUCCUGGUACUGCAGCCGCAUCUGCGUCACUGACCCCGGUGGUACCCUUUCCCACUUCCCCUGCUAUCAGUGGAUUGAGGGCUACUGCACCAUAGAGCUUCGACCAGGAACAGCGAGAACUAUUUGUCAGGACUCCCUGCCCCUCCUUCGGGAUCACAGGACACGGGAACUCCAGGCCCGACAGGAAUGCUACCGCUGGAAAAUCUAUGCCUCCGGCUUCCCCCGAAUUAUAGAUGUCAGCAGCUUUGAGGAGAUGGAGUCAGAUAGGAAAUUUGCCUUGACCAAGACGGCACCUUGUGCAGACCAGGGUGACAGCAGUGGAAAUCGGUACCUGCCUGGCUUCCCCAUGAAAAUUGACAUCUCGUCCUUGCUGUACAUGGAGCCCAAUAUUCGCUACUCGGCCACCAAGACGACCUCGCUGCUCUUCAACGCCAUCCCUGCGUCCUUGGGCCUGAAGCUUCGAGGGCUGCUAGACCGCAAGGGCUCCUGGAAGAAGCUGGACGACAUCCGGAAUAUCUUGUGUUGCCACAAGACCUUCACCUCAGAGUACGUCACGGAGCACUGGUGUGAAGACCACUUUUUCGGGUACCAGUAUCUGAAUGGUGUCAAUCCUGUCAUGCUCCACUGCCUCUCCAGCCUGCCCCUCAAGCUGCCUGUCACCAAUGACAUGGUGGCCCCCUUGCUGGCACCAGGCACCUGCCUGCAGACAGAACUAGAGAGGGGGCACAUCUUCCUAGCCGACUACUGGAUCCUGGCGGAGGCCCCCGUCCACUGCAUCAACGGCCGCCCGCAGUACGCGGCCGCUCCGCUCUGCCUCUUGUGGCUCAACCCCCAGGGGGCGCUGGUGCCCUUGGCCAUCCAGCUCAGCCAGACCCCCGGGCCCGACAGCCCCAUCUUCCUGCCCACUGACUCCGACUGGGACUGGCUGCUGGCCAAGACGUGGGUGCGCAACUCGGAGUUCCUGGUGCACGAGAACAACACGCACUUCUUGUGCACGCAUUUGCUGUGCGAGGCCUUCGCCAUGGCCACGCUGCGUCAGCUGCCGCUCUGCCACCCCAUCUACAAGCUCCUGCUUCCCCACACGCGCUACACGCUGCAGGUGAACACCAUCGCACGGGCCACGCUGCUCAACCCAGACGGCCUGGUGGACAAGGUCACGUCCAUCGGGAGGCAAGGCCUCCUCUACCUCAUGAGCACCGGUCUGGCCCACUUCACCUACACCAGUUUCUGCCUUCCGGACAGCCUGCGGGCCCGCGGCGUCCUGGAAAUUCCCAACUACCACUACCGAGACGACGGCCUGAAGAUCUGGGCGGCCAUUGAGAGUUUUGUCUCAGAAAUCGUGGGCUACUAUUAUCCCAGUGAUGCGUCUGUGCAGCAGGAUUCGGAGCUGCAGGCCUGGGUUGGAGAGAUCUUUGCUCAGGCGUUCCUGGGCCGGGAAAGCUCAGGCUUCCCACGCCAGCUGUGCACCCUGGGAGAGCUAGUGAAGUUCCUCACUGCAAUCAUCUUCAACUGCUCCGCCCAGCACGCCGCCGUCAACAGUGGACAGCAUGACUUUGGGGUCUGGAUGCCCAAUGCCCCGUCAUCCAUGAGGCAGCCCCCACCGCAGACCAAGGGGGCCACCACCCUGAAGAGUUACCUAGACACCCUCCCGGAAGUGAACACCACCUGUAACAACAUUCUCCUCUUCUGGUUGGUCAGCCAAGAGCCCAAGGAUCAGCGGCCCCUGGGCACCUACCUGGACGAGCACUUCACCGAGGAGGCCCCGCGCCAGAGCAUCACCGUCUUCCAGAACCGCCUGGCUCAGAUCUCGCGAGACAUCCGGGAGCGGAACCGGUGCCUGGAGCUGCCCUACGCCUACCUGGACCCACCCCUCAUCGAGAACAGCGUCUCGAUUUAACCCCCUCCUCCUUCCACCCGAAAAGCCCAAGCGUGAGGAGGCCCAGCUUCUCAGGGUCCUCCGGGCCCUUCCGUCUUCCCUGUUCUCGGUCAGCCUGAACUUUCUCUGCACGUGGGGACGUUUUCCACCCAAGUUGGAUCUAGCAUCACACGAACCGAGCCCUGAGCUGUGAGGGACCCGUACAGCGGUGUCCACGGUGGGUGGGGUACCAGGGGAUUAGAGAAAGAAGGAGCAGCAAUGAGUCCCUGGACCAGCUGCUCUGGAGACAGGAAGCCUCCCAGCUCAAACCACUGCCUGGCCAGACCCUACAUUCCUUCACCUCCCAGAGUGUGUCAUCCAUCAGGAGGUGGAGGAAUGUCCAGACUCAAGGGGCCGAUACAAAAAAAGUAGGUAUUUUGCAAAGCCUGAGAAUCCAAAACUUCUGGGUGUGGGACUUGUUAGCACUGCCACUGAGAUCUAGUUCCUCUUCUGGACAUGUGGAAGACUCAACCUCUGGCUCUUUUGUGCAUGGGUAGAGUCAUAGAUGAGUUUUGUCCAACAAGGUCUGAGCAGAAGUGCGGUGGGUCAUCUCCAGGCUGGAGCAUUUAAAUGCUGGCAUGAGCCCUCCAGAGUUCUUUGCUCUCUGCCUCUCUGUUCUAGAAACAUGUGAUGAGAUGGUGCUUCCAUCCAUCAGCUUCCGUCUCUCAGGGACUAGAGCAGAGCCCCCUGCUGACCUGAGCUGGGCAUGGAGCUGAGUGAGAAAUAAACUUUUGCUGGGUCAAGCCAUUGAGAUUUUG
Hippopotamus amphibius kiboko is the source of this 3568-nucleotide RNA transcript. It is a transcript of the gene named arachidonate lipoxygenase 3, with no coding region annotated. The record is from RefSeq and is a predicted model, not a curated record. The transcript is spliced from 16 exons. Lineage: Eukaryota; Metazoa; Chordata; Mammalia; Artiodactyla; Hippopotamidae.